This 512-nucleotide ribosomal RNA is filed under the name Helenozyma melibiosica. RNAcentral's name for it is "LSU rRNA". It matches the Rfam family "Eukaryotic large subunit ribosomal RNA", at positions 62 to 534 of the family's 3401-position model. Lineage: Eukaryota; Fungi; Ascomycota; Pichiomycetes; Serinales; Metschnikowiaceae. The record is from RNAcentral.
AAACCAACAGGGAUUGCCCCAGUAACGGCGAGUGAAGCGGCAAAAGCUCAAUUUUGAAAUCCCCCCGGGGAGUUGUAAUUUGAAGACUAGGGGAUUUGGCCCAAACCUGCGCAAGUCCAUUGGAACAUGGCGCCCAAGAGGGUGAGAGCCCCGUCGCGCAGGCCGCAGCCUUGACAUCCCCCCGUCAAAGAGUCGAGUUGUUUGGGAAUGCAGCUCAAAGUGGGUGGUAAAUUCCAUCUAAAGCUAAAUAUUGGCGAGAGACCGAUAGCGAACAAGUACAGUGAUGGAAAGAUGAAAAGCACUUUGAAAAGAGAGUGAAACAGUACGUGAAAUUGUUGAAAGGGAAGGGCUUGCAAGCAGACACGAGUUCGCUCGGGCCAGCAUCAAUUUCGCGAGGUGGACAACACGCCAGGAAUGUGGCAGGCUCCGGCCUGUGUUAUAGCCUGCGCGCCAUACACCUCCGCGAGAUUGAGGCCUGCUCCAAAAGGAUGCGGGGAAUUUCGGCUUUUUUU